UUGAGAUAGCACCCUUUGUCUAUGAGUACCUCUUGUUUCCUCGGCGGGCCCAGCCCGCCAACGGGGACCCACAAAACCCUUUGCAGUAGCAGUAAACCUCUGAUACAAACAAAAAUUAUUAAAACUUUCAACAACGGAUCUCUUGGUUCUGGCAUCGAUGAAGAACGCAGCGAAAUGCGAUAAGUAGUGUGAAUUGCAGAAUUUAGUGAAUCAUCGAAUCUUUGAACGCACAUUGCGCCCUUCGGUAUUCCGUAGGGCAUGCCUGUUCGAGCGUCAUUAGAAAAGGUCAAGCACUGCUUGUCGUUGGGUGUUUGUCCGCGUCCCCGCACGCAGACUCGCCUCAAAAUCAUUGGCAGCCGGUACAUUGGCUUCGUGCGCAGCACAGCGCGCCUCGUUGUCCAUGGAUCGUCUCUCCACAAGACACACUCUUAGUUUGACCUCGGAUCAGGUAGGGAUACCCGCUGAACUUAAGCAUAUCAAUAAGCGGAG
Molecule: ribosomal RNA, 489 nt
Filed under: uncultured fungus
Lineage: Eukaryota; Fungi
Description: eukaryotic LSU rRNA
Rfam family: 5.8S ribosomal RNA (bases 123-276)
Source: RNAcentral